UAAACUGCUGUGCUGGAAAGACGACCAACUGUUCCCGUUCUUUCCUGUGUUUCAGGUUGAGAACAUCUGAAAGCUAGUGAAACUAUAACUGUGUAUUUCCCUGAGCCGAGUUUAGGGAGGUAACAUCAGCCCUUUUGCUGGCAGCAUUUUGUGUUGAGUAUUUUUUGGACCAUUACUGGGCCUCACAUCCUGGCCUCAGCUUCCUGAAUACAGAACAUCAUUCCAACACACCCCAUUGACGGUUUGCUGGGAAAGAAUGAGGGCAGUGGCCAUUGCUCGAAGACUGCAAGGGAAGCCCAUUGCGCGAAUUUGAACGGUAAUUGGAUAAAUGCUGGGCUUUGCCCCACUCAUCGGAUGCUCAGUGUCUAUGGGGGUCUGUGGGGCAGCGGGCUGGCUCGGAUGUUGCAUGAUGAAUUGAUGAUCUGCCUGAGACGAAAUCAAUCAAUCAGUCAAUCAGUCAAAAAGAUUGACAGUGAAAUUAGCCAAUCAGCGAUCUUGAAGUAUAACCAUUUUCCAAGUUUUUUUCAUUUUGAUGUUAUGAGCUGAUCCAGAGACUUUAUCAAUCCCCAGCGAUUUUGUCUUUGUUAAAAGGACUAGUGUUGUGUUUGGCGACUCUCUUUUGUCUCUUUUGUGGUUUGUUUCCGCAACGAGCAGCGGCAGCUGCGGAGCUUCUACCCCCGUCACAAUCACUCACACUCACAGCCGGUCACACAGACUCAAACAGCAGCUCCAGCUGCUAGCAAGCUGCACAUCAUGGUAGACACUAGAAUUUACAUAUAAAUAAAUAAACAUAAUGAUGAAGUCGCCCACAAAAAACUUUGCUUCUCCUCCUGAAUGACCAGCAGCUGUCAUUAUUGGAAUGUCUGACUUAGUAGAUUUUUCUACAAUUUUUGCCAUUUUUUUACAAUUUUCUAUGCCACUUAUCCUCACUAGGGUCACGGGUAUGCACAAGCCUAUGCCAGCUGACUUCGGGCGAGAGGCGGGUUACAUCCCGGACUAGUCGUCAGCCAAUCACAGCCUAUUGUUAUUCAUAUUUUUUCACAUUACAUGUAGUGGUAAACUCUGAAAUCUUGCCAAAUUUACAUUUUGUGUUCAUUGAUAAUUCAUAAUACCUUCAUAAUACCAAGAUAAUUGUUGUGGGGGUGUUGCCAAUACUACCAAAAGAUAACCAAAAAGUAACAAUUAGUCAACAUUGGGGGACAUUAGAGUAGCAUUGAGGGCACUAAACAUGUAACCAACACAAAACAUUUAGAGAAUGUAAUACAAACUGUAACCUUGUGGCAACCAAAUGGUAAUCAAAACCAAACCACAAAAAAAUGUUUCUGCAAAAAAGUUAAUGUUAAUAAUGUUAAUGCCAUUCUGGGACAUAAUGGCUAGUCGGGAAGGUAUGGGAGCCUGUCAGAAUACAUUUUCACAGAGGGGUAAAGAAAAACGUCUCCAGCCUCUGCCACAGAAACACAGUAGAAUGUUUUUCUGUGACAUGAAGUGACAGACAGACGGCAGUAGCCCAAGGGGGAACUUGGGGGUUUAUGUAAAUGUACUGUUGACGAUCUCUGUGUACACCCUGAUCACAAGUUUCAAUAUUUUCUUUUUAAGGUGACGUGCUCGAACAAUAUUCAUGAUGGGUUAUAUAGUGGGUGUCCACCACAUACUGAAAAAUGAAAGGAUGCAAGGUCCACUUUGAAAUCAAUUUUGUAAUAUUAUGAUUUAUUUCCCAUAAUAUUUUUACUUUAUUCCCAUAUUACAGUGUAACUUUUUUCCUACCUAAUUUUCGAAAAACAAACUUAUUUUGUUGUGUUUGUCUCUCAUAUUAUUAUGACUAUUUCAAAAAAUUAAGUAUUUUUUCUUUUAUAUUUCAACUGCAUGUGACUUCAAUUACAUUAUUUUUCCUCAUAAUAUCAUAAGUUUAUUUUCAUAAAAUUGCAGCUUUUUUCUUGGGAGAAUAUAACUUCUUUUCUGUUAAUAUUUUUGACAUUAUUCCAACCAUUUAAACUUUAAAUUACUGCAGAUUUUUCCAUUUUGUUUUUGUGUUUUUGGUUUUCUUGUUAAAUUAUAGUUUUAGAGUGUGCCUAAAAAAACAGCUGUGGACUGCAAAUGGAACUCGAGCCCCACCUUGGAUGGGUUACAUCAUGAAAUUCUUCUGUUAAAUACUGAUGAUUAAUUGUAUUUUAUAAUAUUUUAUUUGUAUUUUAUAUUUAUUACAUGUAUAAUGUACAGUAACUCAAUGAGGAU
Molecule: non-coding RNA, 2232 nt
Organism: Doryrhamphus excisus (bluestripe pipefish)
Lineage: Eukaryota; Metazoa; Chordata; Actinopteri; Syngnathiformes; Syngnathidae
Source: RefSeq, a predicted model, not a curated record